UACAGAGGUCCCAAGCGUUGUUCGGAUUCACUGGGCGUAAAGGGUGCGUAGGCGGUCGGGUAAGUCUGACGUGAAAUCUUCAAGCUCAACUUGGAAACUGCGUCCGAUACUAUUCGGCUAGAGGAAUGGAGGGGAGACUGGAAUACUUGGUGUAGCAGUGAAAUGCGCAGAUAUCGGGAGGAACACCGGUGGCGAAGGCGGUUCUCUGGGCCUUACCUGACGCUGAGGAGCGAAAGCGUGGGGAGCGAACAGG
RNAcentral lists this ribosomal RNA (253 nucleotides) under uncultured bacterium. RNAcentral describes it as "partial 16S ribosomal RNA". It matches the Rfam family "Bacterial small subunit ribosomal RNA", at positions 524 to 776 of the family's 1533-position model. The record is from RNAcentral.